This 465-nucleotide ribosomal RNA is filed under the name uncultured bacterium. RNAcentral's name for it is "partial 16S ribosomal RNA". It matches the Rfam family "Bacterial small subunit ribosomal RNA", at positions 338 to 795 of the family's 1533-position model. The record is from RNAcentral.
CCUACGGGUGGCAGCAGUAGGGAAUUUUCCGCAAUGGGCGCAAGCCUGAACGAGCGAUGCCGCGUGAGUGAAGAAGGCCUUCGGGUCGUAAAGCUCUGUUGCGGGGGAAGAAAGGCAGCAGCAGGAAAUGGGUGCUGACUGAUGGUGCCUCGCCAGGAAGUACCGGCUAACUCCGUGCCAGCAGCCGCGGUAAUACGUAGGUGGCGAGCGUUAUGCGGAAUUAUUGGGCGUAAAGGGUGCGCAGGCGGUCCUGCAAGUCAGGGGUGAAACGCAUGAGCUCAACGCAGGCAUGGCCUUGGAAACUGGAGGACUGGAGAGUAGGAGAGGGUGGUGGAACUCCAGGUGUAGGGGUAAAAUCCGUAGAUAUAUGGAAGAACACCAGUGGCGAAGGCGGCCGCCUGGCAUGUUGCUGACGCUGAGGCACGAAAGCGUGGGGAGCAAACAGGAUUAGAUACCCGGGUAGUC